AUGAGUAAUUGCAUCUCCAUACCAGAGGAUUUGCCCCUUGGAUUAUUCCCAAAAACUGGAAAAAGUUUGAUUCUCCUAAACCUUAAAAAAAAAAACAAAAACUAGUUUUACUUUGUAAUACUGUUUGACCUAAAAAUGAACUGGGUGAAAAUACAAACAUCAGCCUGAGACCCCAGUAACCUUAUGCAGGAAAUUCUCAAAUUAGCCUCUUCAGUCUUUUACAACUGAGAGCAGAAUAAAGAGGACAGAGGGAAAAAGAAGAACAAACACAAAAAUAAGAGGCAGGCUCAACUAUUGGCUGCUUUACAAGCUCUCCAGUCCCCUCCAGGUCUCCUAAGGACACUCCUCCAGGACUCUCAUGGCAACACAUAGUACAAACCAUGACUUCCUGACAGAAAGGGAAAUGACUUCUGUCUAAUUCAAAGAAUAUUAAGGUUUCUGAUUUGAAGAUUGUGACAUGAGAAUAGAGGAAAAACUUUCAGGACACUUAAGGAGAGCUGAAAUGUUCAUGAAUAUUAAGCAGAGCAUAAGUCAACUGUAUGGACUGACCUAAUAGAAGACUGAAAUAAUUCUUCUAUUUACACCUUUUAACAAUCGAGUAAAGUAUACUCCUGUAAACAAA
This 622-nucleotide long non-coding RNA is filed under the name Pan troglodytes (chimpanzee). Its description in RNAcentral is "long non-coding RNA NONPTRT012507". Lineage: Eukaryota; Metazoa; Chordata; Mammalia; Primates; Hominidae. The record is from RNAcentral.